This 199-nucleotide ribosomal RNA is filed under the name uncultured Leptolinea sp. Its description in RNAcentral is "partial 16S ribosomal RNA". It matches the Rfam family "Bacterial small subunit ribosomal RNA", at positions 1184 to 1382 of the family's 1533-position model. The record is from RNAcentral. Lineage: Bacteria; Bacillati; Chloroflexota; Anaerolineae; Anaerolineales; Anaerolineaceae.
GUCAAGUCAGCAUGGCCUUUAUAUCCUGGGCUACACACACGCUACAAUGGCCAACACAAUAGGUUGCUAAGCCGCGAGGUGGCGCCAAUCCAUAAAGUUGGUCUCAGUUCAGAUUGUAGGCUGCAACCCGCCUGCAUGAAGAUGGAGUUGCUAGUAACCGCAGGUCAGCUAUACUGCGGUGAAUACGUUCCCGGGGCUU